This 96-nucleotide signal recognition particle RNA is filed under the name Pseudobdellovibrionaceae bacterium. Its description in RNAcentral is "Bdellovibrionaceae bacterium signal recognition particle sRNA small type". It matches the Rfam family "Bacterial small signal recognition particle RNA". Rfam says of the family: The signal recognition particle (SRP) is a universally conserved ribonucleoprotein involved in the co-translational targeting of proteins to membranes. Archaeal SRP consists of a 7S RNA and homologues of the eukaryotic SRP19 and SRP54 proteins. The record is from RNAcentral. Lineage: Bacteria; Pseudomonadati; Bdellovibrionota; Bdellovibrionia; Bdellovibrionales; Pseudobdellovibrionaceae.
GGUUAGAGCCCAAAUUGUGAUUGCCUGCGAACUCCGCCAGGGCUGGAAAGCAGCAACGGUAGUAGACCAAUCAGGUUUUUGGGAUUUCUAAUCAUC